GUAGGGUGCAAGCGUUAAUCGGAAUUACUGGGCGUAAAGCGUGCGCAGGCGGUCGCGCAAGACAGAUGUGAAAUCCCCGGGCUUAACCUGAGAAUCGCAUUUGUGACUGCACGGCUGGAGUGCGGCAGAGGGGGAUGGAAUUCCGCGUGUAGCAGUGAAAUGCGUAGAUAUGCGGAGGAACACCGAUGGCGAAGGCAAUCCCCUGGGCCUGCACUGACGCUCAUGCACGAAAGCGUGGGGAGCAAACAGGAUUAGAUACCCUGGUAGUCCACGCCCUAAACGAUGUCAACUGGUUGUUGGACGGCUUGCUGUUCAGUAACGAAGCUAACGCGUGAAGUUGACCGCCUGGGGAGUACGGCCGCAAGGUUG
This 369-nucleotide ribosomal RNA is filed under the name uncultured bacterium. Its description in RNAcentral is "bacterial SSU rRNA". It matches the Rfam family "Bacterial small subunit ribosomal RNA", at positions 527 to 896 of the family's 1533-position model. The record is from RNAcentral.